Molecule: ribosomal RNA, 377 nt
Filed under: Camponotus sp. MG053
Lineage: Eukaryota; Metazoa; Arthropoda; Insecta; Hymenoptera; Formicidae
Description: partial 12S ribosomal RNA
Source: RNAcentral
AAACUAGGAUUAGAUACCCUAUUAUUUUUAUUAAAUUAAAUUUAAUUUAAAUAUUAAAUGUUUAAAGCAUUAAAAAUAAAAAAUUUGGCGGUAUUUAAUAUUUAGAGGAACUUGUUUAUUAAAUUGAUAAUCCACGAAUGGAGGAACUUAAUUUAAAAUAAAAAUUUUAUGUAUUGUUGUUGAAAAAUUAGAUUAAUAGGUAUUAGUUAAAAAAUUUAAUAGUAGAUAAUUAUAAUUCAAAUCAAAAUGUAGAAUAAUUAAGAUUUUAAUGAGUUACAGUUAAUUGAAUAAUAAUGGAUUUUAAUUAAAUUAAUUUAUAAAUGAAAAUGGAUUUAAAAGUAAAUUUAUAAAAAUUUAUAAAUGAAUUAAAAAUUAAA